This 219-nucleotide ribosomal RNA is filed under the name uncultured bacterium. RNAcentral describes it as "partial 16S ribosomal RNA". It matches the Rfam family "Bacterial small subunit ribosomal RNA", at positions 28 to 239 of the family's 1533-position model. The record is from RNAcentral.
GAUGAACGCUAGCGGCAGGCUUAAUACAUGCAAGUCGAGGGGCAGCAUGACUGUAGCAAUAACAGUUGAUGGCGACCGGCAAACGGGUGCGGAACACGUACGCAAUCUACCCAAAACUGAUGAAUAGCCCUCCGAAAGGAGGAUUAAUACAUCGUAACCUGAUUGAAUGGCAUCAUUUAAUUAGUAUAGCUCCGGCGGUUUUGGAUGAGCGUGCGCCNG